Long non-coding RNA from Oncorhynchus tshawytscha (Chinook salmon), 1065 nucleotides. NCBI's taxonomy places the organism in Eukaryota, Metazoa, Chordata, Actinopteri, Salmoniformes, Salmonidae. The record is from Ensembl.
GUUUUAAUGUGUGGAUGGGAGUGUUUUAAUGUGUGGAUGGGAGUGUUUUAAUGUGUGGAUGGGGGUGUUUUAAUGUGUGGAUGGGAGUGUUUUAAUGUGUGGAUGGGAGGAUGGGAGUGCUUUAAUGUGUGGAUGGGAGUGUUUUAAUGUGUGGAUGGGAGGAUGGGAGUGUUUUAAUGUGUGGAUGGGAGUGUUUUAAUGUGUGGAUGGGAGUGUUUUAAUGUGUGGAUGGGAGUGUUUUAAUGUGUGGAUGGGAGGAUGGGAGGAUGGGAGUGUUUUAAUGUGUGGAUGGGAGGAUGGGAGGAUGGGAGUGUUUUUAUGUGUGGAUGGGAGGAUGGGAGUGUUUUAAUGUGUGGAUGGGAGUGUUUUAAUGUGUGGUUGGGAGUGUUUUAAUGUGUGGAUGGGAGUGUUUUAAUGUGUGGAUGGGAGUGUUUUAAUGUGUGGAUGGGAGGUUGGCAGGUUGAGAGUGUUUUAAUGUGUGGAUCGGAGGUUGGCAGGUUGGGAGUGUUUUAUAAUGUGUGGAUGGGAGUUUGGCGGGUUUGGAGUGUUUUAAUGUGUGGAUGGCAGGUUGGGAGUGUUUUAAUGUGUGGAUGGGAGUGUUUUAAUGUGUGGGUGGGAGUGUUUUAAUGUGUGGAUGGGAGGUUGGCAGGUUGAGAGUGUUUUAAUGUGUGGAUCGGAGGUUGGCAGGUUGGGAGUGUUUAAUAACGUGUGGAUGGGAGUUUGGCAGGUUGGAAGUGUUUUAAUGUGUGGAUGGCAGGUUGGGAGUGUUUUAAUGUGUGGAUGGGAGGUUGGGAGUGUUUUAAUGUGUGGAUGGCAGGUUGGGAGUGUUUUAAUGUGUGGAUGGGAGGUUGGCAGGUUGGUAGUGUUUUAAUGUGUGGAUGGGAGGUUGGCAGGUUGGUAGUGUUUUAAUGUGUGGAUGGCAGGUUGGGAGUGUUUUAAUGUGUGGAUUGCAGGUUGGGAGCGUGUUUAUGUGUGUGUAUGUCUGUGUGUGGCUACAGUCCCCUCUCUCUUAGCUUAGUGUUGGUAUGUCCAGUACCUUAGUGCUAUUUCACUCUGUAUUCUACC